UACCUAUACACCACAGCAAUAAAGCGUUGAGAAAGUCUCAACACAAUGUAUUAAACGAAAACGGGUGUAGCCAAUGCUUACUGCAAAUAUGAAAUACUGGUCCUGGAUGGGCGCAUUUUCCGUCUCGCUGCUCUUUUGGGCUGAACUAUUCUGGAUCCUGAUGAAUUAAUCUCAAACCUCGCUCCGGCGAGGUUUUCGUUU
This 201-nucleotide small RNA is filed under the name Citrobacter farmeri. RNAcentral describes it as "Enterobacterial sRNA STnc180". It matches the Rfam family "Enterobacterial sRNA STnc180". The record is from RNAcentral. Lineage: Bacteria; Pseudomonadati; Pseudomonadota; Gammaproteobacteria; Enterobacterales; Enterobacteriaceae.